This 282-nucleotide ribosomal RNA is filed under the name uncultured bacterium. RNAcentral describes it as "partial 16S ribosomal RNA". It matches the Rfam family "Bacterial small subunit ribosomal RNA", at positions 529 to 793 of the family's 1533-position model. The record is from RNAcentral.
AGGGUGCGAGCGUUAAUCGGAAAUUACGUGGGACGUAAAGCGCAUGCAGGCGGCCUGUUAAGUCAGAUGUAGAAAGGCCCGGGGACCUUUAACCCGUACGGUAAAUUGCUAUUUAGAAACUGGCGAGGCUAGAGUCUUGUAGAGGGGGGUAGGAAUUUCAGGUGUAGCGGUGAAAUGCGUAGAGAUCUGAAGGAAUACCAGUGGCGAAGGCGGCCCCCUGGACAAAGACUGACGCUCAGAUGCGAAAGCGUGGGGAGCAAACAGGAUUAGAUACCCUGGUAG